Molecule: long non-coding RNA, 246 nt
Filed under: Vitis vinifera (wine grape)
Lineage: Eukaryota; Viridiplantae; Streptophyta; Magnoliopsida; Vitales; Vitaceae
Description: long non-coding RNA (VVIN_LNC003790)
Source: RNAcentral
AUUGCCAUCCACAAAGCUCCUUUCCUUCAUCAUCCGUCAUCAUCAACACCACCAUGGCAGCCAUUAUCCAUAGCUCCACUCCAUAGCCGCGCCAUCCACUAUUCACCACUUCCCAUUUUCGGCAAUUUCAUCUCCUUCCACCAUCAAAAUCCUUUCAAAUCUUCACCCAACCCUCUAAAUCCAUCCAUAAUUCAAUCCAAACCUUGUUCUUAUCAAGCCAAAGCCUAAACCAUAAGCAUUCAAGCC